AGCAUAUAUGCAAAUAUUCUUCCUUUUUAUUAAGUAAAUGUGUACUUUUUGCACCUUGCUUUUUUCACCUAUUAUAUUUUAGUUGUAUAUAUAGAGCUGCCUCGUUUUAACUGCUGUGUGGUAUUUCCUUGUAAGAUAUAGCAUAAUUUAUUUACUAGUUCUCUACUGAUAGGUAUUUAAGUUGCUUACAAUAUUUUGUUCUAAACAAUAUUACAGAAGAUAUCUUUAUAACUUAUGUCUUUUUGAAUAUAUACAGGUGUAAUAACUCAUAGAACUAGAAUUGUUGAGUCAGAGGUCAUUUGCAUUUUUUAUUUUGAUAGAUAUUGAGGGAUUGCUCUUGACAGAGUCUGUGCAAAUUAUGCCCCGACAGCAAUAUAUUGAUUGUUUCUCAGCGUCCUCAUUAUCACAGCAUUUUAUCAAACUUUCUGAUUCUUGACAAUCUAAGGGAAAAAUAGUAAUUUAUUGUUUAAUUUGCAUUUCUAUCAUUAUUAAUGAAACUGAACAUUUUGCAUUUUCUUUCUGUGAGCUGACUAUUCAUAUCUUUACCCAUUUUUUUGUUGUGGUGAUCUUUUCAUUAUUGAUUUCUAGGAGCCCUUUAAACAGUAAAGAAUUGAGUUAUUUGUCUGACCUAUGAAUUGCAGGUAUUUUUUCCCAAACUGUCUUUGAUUUUGUAAUGGGUUUUUUUGGUGGACGAAGGCAGAUUUUUGCUUUUCUUAAAAAAUGUUUAUAUAGCCAAAUAUAUCAGUGUUUGCUUUUUAAUGUCUUCUGGGUUUGGGAUUAUAUCUUAAAACGCUUUUCUGCUCUAAGAUCAUCUUUUAAAAACAACCUCCCUAUUUUUACUUUCUUGAUUUUAUUUGGUUUGAUUUUUAUGUUUGUAUCUUUGAUUCAUUUAAAGCUUAGUUCGGUGUAGGGAUCCAACUUUAUUAAAUUGGAGUGCAAAAUGAACCAACUGCUAAUGGAUCUGGUCGGUUAGGACAUGAGUCCUGGUUGAUUAGCUACGUGAGAAUCAUCCCCAGCUCCCCACAGACUUUCUUACACUUUAUUUCUCCAGCACCUGCUAUGGUGCCGGAAAUAGAAGUCUUCAAAUGGAUUUUAAAAUUGAACACACUUGGGAUGGUUUUCCAGUGAAGCAUGAGCCAGCGUUUGUCAGGCUGAAUCCAGGUGAUAGAGGAGUGAUGAUGGAAGUCAGUGCUCCAUUUUUCAAUGAUCCUCCAGCCCCACUAGGAGAACCAGGAAAGCCUUUCAAUGAACUGUGGGAUUAUGAAGUUGUGGAAGCAUUUUUCUUGAAUGACAUAACUGAACAGUAUUUAGAAGUUGAACUUUGUCCCCAUGGACAGCAUUUGGUGCUUUUACUCUCUGGAAAAAGAAAUGUGUGGAAACAAGAACUUGAUCUAUCAUUCAAAGUGUCCAGAGGAGAGACAAAAUGGGAAGGUAGAGCUUAUCUUCCUUGGAGUUAUUUUCCACCAAAUGUGACAAAAUUCAAUUCAUUUGCAAUUCAUGGAUCAAAAGGUAGAAGAAGCUAUGAAGCUCUUUACCCUGUACUUCCACAUGAGCUGCAGCAAGGACAAAAACCUGAUUUCCAUCAUCUGGAAUACUUCAAGCCUUUCAGUUUUAACACACUGCUUGGAGAAGAGUGGAAACAACCAGAGUCAGACCUGUGGCUAAUAGAGAAACCUGAUGUGUAGGAGUAUAGUAGAUGACCACAUCAAUCAUUUCUUCUCUAUACCUUUUAAGGAACCGUAUAUUAAACAUAUUGCCCAAGAUCAUACAGCUAAGGAGCAGUAGAUUUGAACCCAGGAAGUUUGGUUCUGGAGACCGGGCACUUGUCAACUUUACUACAGCCUCUGACUGAAAUUUUCAAAAGUAACUAAGAAAGAAAACAACUGCCAGCUGGAAGAGGAGAUGUGAGAAUUAUAUAAAGAUAUUGGUAACAGUUGAAAUAUAGAGUUACCACAACAUGGCGCAGUUUACCAGUGCUACAGAGCCCUGUGACUCUCAAGUUUGAUUCUGGGGUCCAAGGCUAACUGAUGAAAGUGAAUGAUCCUUUCUUUGAUGAUCCCCAGGACUACCAGGCGAAGCAGGACUGCCUUUUGAUGGAGCAUGAAGUUGUUGAAUCAUUUUUGUUUGAACAGCAAGACUAAACAGCACCUGGAGGUGGAACUCUGCCCGCACGGACAGCACCUGGUCCUACUGCUCUCCAACAGGGAUUCAUUUACAUAAGAGCCAAGUUCACAAUUUAAACUCAACACUACCUGGAACCGGUGGAGUGGGAUUAUAUUUCUUCCUUGGGAAUAUUUUCCACGUGGUAUUGAUAAAAUGAAUUCAUAUGCAAUUCAUGGAUCAGGGAUUAGAAGAAUUUAUGAAGCCCUCUAUUCAAUGCCACAUGAAGAGAUGGAAGAUGGACAAGGCCUAACUUCCAUCGCCUUGAGUAUUUCAAACCUUUCAACUUGAAGUGGAUUAUGGGAAACAACUGGGAGAAGCCAGACUCAGAGCUGUGGAAGGAGCUUUGCUGUGAUCCUUUACCUUCUGACAACACAGUUAUAGCUCGUAACGAAAAGCACUUAACAAAUAGAACUCCAUGUACCACCACCUUUUGGCCUCAGUUGGACAGCUGAAGUAAAAUCAUUGUCUGCUACCACUGUAAAUGUUCCAACAACACGCUAGAAAUAAAUCAUCUAAUUGAA
Orcinus orca (killer whale) is the source of this 2684-nucleotide RNA transcript. It is a transcript of the gene named chromosome 4 C4orf33 homolog, with no coding region annotated. Lineage: Eukaryota; Metazoa; Chordata; Mammalia; Artiodactyla; Delphinidae. The record is from RefSeq and is a predicted model, not a curated record. The transcript is spliced from 13 exons.